This is a long non-coding RNA of Drosophila miranda, 2154 nucleotides long. RefSeq lists it as uncharacterized. NCBI's taxonomy places the organism in Eukaryota, Metazoa, Arthropoda, Insecta, Diptera, Drosophilidae. The record is from RefSeq and is a predicted model, not a curated record. The transcript has 3 exons.
AGCUAGCAACGACUAUCAGCACUGAACACAUAUUUUUAACCGAUAAUCUAAUCAAUUUUAUAUAAAAGUGGCUAAUUUUAAGUACCAUCUUUAUUGGCAUUGUUUAUAAAAUAAGGUUUCAAUAAAAAAUGUCAACAAUUUCCACUAAGUUUAUUUCUUUACAUGGUAACUACCCAUUUGCUACAUAUUAAAACAUUUUUAUAAAGGGGUAUAUGUGUACUUUUCAAAAUUGUUGGCCCGUUCUUUUCCAUAUAAGCCCCAUGGAAGCGCCAGUGUGAAAAACCCCCGUUAUGCAUAUUUUUACAUUCCUUUUUUUUAUAUUUUUGAAAACAUUGAGAUUUUGAUGGCAAGUGAUCAAGAUUUCGAUGAUUUCCCGCAUUAAUAAUCGAUUGGCUAAGAGGGUGAGUGCAUAACCUUAAUAUACUGGAAAAUACUAUGGAAAGUAUUUUUAUAUUUUGCAAGGUGUGUGAACCAGACAUUGUGGCAAGAAAAUUAGUGUACUAAGUGACUUGGCGAUCAAAUAUACGGUCUGAAAUAUGCCACAUAUACCCACUUAAGACCCCUCUAUUUAAACAGUCAUUGUAGAUACCUCCUAUCCCUUCUUUUACUCACAAAAAAAAACCCACUAUAUCCACGAUUUUCACUAUUUUCGGUGCAAUAUUAAAAUACCCCUUUGGCAUACAAUAGGCUAAUCGUUCUGUGAUUUGAUAUUAUUAGCUUGCUAGGACUUUAUAGCUGAACAUGAAGUUUAUCCGAUUGAUAGAUUAUUUUUAUAAAAUAGUAGCCAACUUUUGCUAGUCAUUCUUAUUGGAUUUGUUUAGAAUUUUCACGAGUUUUCAAAGUGAAAAUUUUGAAAAAUAUACCGCUAAAAAUUAUUGUGUAAAAAAAGCACUACCUUUAAAAAAAACUGCAUACAAAAUACCAGAUUAAAUUGUUAAACAAAUUCCAAGUCCCCAAUCUAUCAAAAAAAGUUUCCUUGCCAGGUAAAAAAGAGUUUAAAUAAAGGGGCUUAAGUGGGCUAAGUUCGUUUUUUCAUCGGUAUGGCACGCUGAAAAGGCGCCAUUCUUAAGAAGCGUCCCUCCAUUUUUUUUUAACUCCUAAAUAAUUACAUUGAGCCUGGGAAGCAGUUGGAUCUUCCAACAGGACAACGAUCCAAAGCACACCGCACAUGUUGUGCGUGAUUGGUUGCUGUAUUAUGCCCCAAGACAGCUUCGUUCACCACCCCAAUCUCCAGAACUUAACCCAAUCGAACAUCUUUGGGACAUUUUAGAAAGAUUGGUACGGAAGUAUAACAUCAGUAGUCGGGAAAGCCUCAAAACCGCCCUCAUUCGAGCUUGGGCCAAAGUUCCGCCCACAACAACCGAAAAUUUGGUGGCAUCGAUGCCCCGACGACUACAGGCUGUAAUAGAUGCCAAUGGUGGACCAACCAAAUAUUAAAAGUAUAAAAAGUAUUAAUAUUAAGAUGACUUUGAGACUAUAAUACAAAAGCAUAGAGGCUGUAUGUACACUUUUUUCCGUGAACAUUUUAUGUUUUUUCGUUGUAACUUUAGUAUACAUAAUUUUUGUUUAAGUUUUUUUUCUGAAAUAAUAAUAACUUUAAGUGUCCUAAAUAAUGGCAUACCAACUUUUUUAAUUUUCAUUGCGAAAACCCGAAAUAUUGAAAAAUCGGUGCUGUAUGUUGACUUUUUUCCUUGACUGUAUAAACAAUAACUCAUAUAUUUGAUUGCGCGUUGUGUGUAGUUCUCCUCUCCUUUCUUUAAUAUUCUUGGGCGAGAAAAGCGAUUAAAAAUACACCGACAACCGACAAGGCAGGCAGAGCGAGAAUUGACAGGCGGUGGCGGCAGCGGCGAACCGACACCGACAGAGAGGGGAGUGUGUGCGUGCGUAACUUAACCGAUGACAUCGUAAAUUCACGGAAAAGCAGGUAGGACAAAAGCAAUUAAGCAUUGGCCUUCCAUGGGGCAGAAUCGGGGUAAACCUUGGCGUUUCAAACCGAUUGAAUGUAUGUGGUUUUAACAGGAAUUUAAUUUUACAAAGUAGGGCGUGUGUUCUUGCUGCUGGCAAUGCUCUUGCCGUGACGUUGUUUGUUUUAGUUUUUUUAACCCCAAUAAACACACGCACACACUUGUAUUUAUUCGGCGAAUUUCGUGGGGU